Long non-coding RNA from Liolophura sinensis, 450 nucleotides. RefSeq lists it as uncharacterized. The record is from RefSeq and is a predicted model, not a curated record. Lineage: Eukaryota; Metazoa; Mollusca; Polyplacophora; Chitonida; Chitonidae. The transcript has 3 exons.
CCAACAUGGAUGUAGAGACAGCUUCAGAGAGAGAUAAGGCGACAUUUGCGAUCCAAAUUGGUCAUCUAUCAAGUCGCAUAGCAGAAAUAAAAGAUGCUUGUUCAGGCUUUGAACAACUGCAACAUGAUAUCAAGACGAAUCAAGAUCUUCGUAUAUCAGAUAUAGUGAGAGCGUACUUUGCAGCGCUGCGCGUUUUGAACUCUUGGAAAAAGACUUCUCUUGAGGCUGUCAGGGAAAGAUAUUCGAGCUGGAUUCUUGAAUGUACAGCCUGCAAAAAAGACCUGGAAAUGCAGCUGGAAGAAACGCAAUCAACACAGCUGUCGUGUCAAAAGUUAUUGUCUUGUCCGGAAGUGGAAUUUUUACAGGUAAAACCACUGAGCCGAUUUUUCUUUAGCAGUGGCUUGUAAUUAUUACACUUUGGCGGGGGAAGGGCUAAUAUUAGAUGAUUUU